Molecule: long non-coding RNA, 1366 nt
Filed under: Cyanistes caeruleus (blue tit)
Lineage: Eukaryota; Metazoa; Chordata; Aves; Passeriformes; Paridae
Description: lncRNA (ENSCCEG00000010691.1)
Source: RNAcentral
CAAGUAGCUGUGACAGCUGAAUUCAGCACAUGAGCUACACUUAGAAAGCACUGCCUGAUUUUCUGAUAGAAAAUACUACAGUUAAAUAGAGAGGCCAGAGCCUGUAGCUUAAAAUGGGGGAAAAAUGAUGAAGAUAGUUCGCAUAGAACGUGGCUUUUGAGGAUAAAAGCUUCCUGACAGAAGAGAGGAAGAUUGUUACUGUGUAUUUAUAUAAAGCCAAGGCCAGUUUUUUGUGGGCUCCAUUGAAGCUGUGCCAAUUUACACCACCUCUAAAGAGUUCAUUAAACCUCUGUCUCACCAGCACAUUGCUCCAGGAUUUGAACAUUUGUUCAUCUGAAAGAUUCAUUAUCCUCCUAAUCCAGCUUGGUACCUUUUUUAAGACUGGGUGUGAAAUGUUGGUGGUUCCUGCACUUUCUCCCUGCAUUAAACACCCACUGCAUUCCCUGCAGAGUCUGGGAAGUUACAAGUGUCUGUUUAGCUGGGAUGGGAAAGGACCCGAGACCCAGACUGGAGCUUUCUAAAUCAGCUGUGCUUUGGAUUCAGGGCUCUGCUGCCCCUCAGAGCAAAGGGCCUUUUAUUGCUGCCACCUUGGGCUGUUUGUGCUAAAGUCAGUCAAGUCAGAUGAAUAAUUUGCACUGAGUUUUGAUUGAUUUUGUGUCUUUUUCAGUUUGCCAGGGAGCAAGGAACCAAUUGCAAUUCCUCAUUAAAAAUCACUUCUGCUUAAUUCCUGCAACUCCAGUUGUGGACACUGAAUAUCAACCCUAAGCCUUGAUAGUUGGCUUCUCCUGAACAUCCCUAAUCCGUGAGGUGCUGAUCAGCGAUGGCUGAGUUUGCAAGCAAUGAGAGCCCUUGUUAGGAAUGGUUUUCGUCAUCUCCCAGCACAAUGAAGAGAUUGCUGCCACACAAUGCACUCAUCACUCGGCAUUGUCCUUUCCCAGCAAAGAACCCAUCUGAAGAUGUUCUCUUGUUUUUCUGAUUGUGGAAUGUCUGAGACCAGAACAGAAUGGUACCAGAUUGGUUUGAUCACAGGGAUGUCCCAAGGGAAAUUCCCACCUGCCCUGUGCCCGCUGAACAGAGAAUUGCUCAGGAGCCUCUCAGCAAGCUUUGCUCCCUGUUUUCUGGGCAGUGUAAAUGACCUGGAGCACACUAAAGCCCUCAGCAGCCAGGGCACUGAUGCCAGCAGGGAGGAAAUGCCCACACGUUCAGCACCAACACUUCAGGAGGAAAUAGCUGAGGAGAGCUGAGCCAACACCCUGCUGAAGAGUUCCACACGUGUUUCUUCCCCCUCAGCUCCUGCAUCUCCUGUACUCAGCAGAUGUUAAGGUCAGGUGAUCAAUUAUGAAAAAUAAAAAUUCAAAUAUUUACA